UUAUGAGAGUUUGAUCCUGGCUCAGGACGAACGCUGGCGGCGUGCCUAAUACAUGCAAGUCGAACGCUUUUCCUUUCAUCGGAGCUUGCUCCACCGAAAG
This 100-nucleotide ribosomal RNA is filed under the name Enterococcus casseliflavus. Its description in RNAcentral is "partial 16S ribosomal RNA". Lineage: Bacteria; Bacillati; Bacillota; Bacilli; Lactobacillales; Enterococcaceae. The record is from RNAcentral.